AUGAACGCUAGCGACAGGCCUAACACAUGCAAGGUCAGGGGCAGCACAAGGAGCAAUCUGAGGUGGCGACCGGCGCACGGGUGAGUAACACGUAUGCAACCUGCCUGUAAGCGGGGAAUAACCCGUUGAAAGACGGACUAAUACCGCAUAAUACUAAAUUACUGCAUGGUAAUUUAUUUAAACAUUUAUGGCUUACAGAUGGGCAUGCGCAUGAUUAGCUAGUUGGAGAGGUAACGGCUCCCCAAGGCAACGAUCAUUAGGGUCUGAGAGGAAGGUCCCCCACACUGGUACUGAGACACGGACCAGACUCCUACGGGAGGCAGCAGUGAGGAAUAUUGGUCAAUGGACGAGAGUCUGAACCAGCCAAGUCGCGUGCAGGAAGAAUGUCCUUAAUGGAUUGUAAACUGCUUUUGCAGGGGAAUAAAGUGCAUCACGUGUGAUGUUUUGUAUGUACUCUGCGAAUAAGGAUCGGCUAACUCCGUGCCAGCCGCAGC
This 494-nucleotide ribosomal RNA is filed under the name uncultured bacterium. RNAcentral's name for it is "bacterial SSU rRNA". It matches the Rfam family "Bacterial small subunit ribosomal RNA", at positions 29 to 518 of the family's 1533-position model. The record is from RNAcentral.